RNAcentral lists this unclassified non-coding RNA (470 nucleotides) under Hevea brasiliensis (rubber tree). Lineage: Eukaryota; Viridiplantae; Streptophyta; Magnoliopsida; Malpighiales; Euphorbiaceae. The record is from RNAcentral.
GUCUGAACAUCAGGGUAUUGAAUCAAAGCGUGAAGUCCGCCAUUCUUAUCAAACAUUGCAAUCUUCUGCACAGGUCCAAAAGCAGCAAAAACCAUGUGCAGAACAUCCAAGGUGACAGCAUAUUGCAUGUUCUCAAUUGAUGCCAGAAGGACAUUACUCUCAGGUUCUAAUUUUUUCCCAUCAAGACCUACACUUAACAGACCACCUCCAUCUAUAGCUGAUGGUGCGACAGGAAGGUUUGGAUUAGUGUAGUCCCUGCUCCGGUGGCUCUGAAAUUUUACACUCAAAUCUGUAUGAGCAGAGUAAUUGAUCCUAAGGGUACAUGGUCCAAUAUGCUCAGGAAACAGAUACCUAGGGAUGUUUCUUCCAUCCAGGGCAUUUUUUGCAGAAGAGGCAGUUUCUGCAUCAGAAAACUGAACCAAAGCCUGGAACCCAGCCGUUUUCUCAAAGGUAGUAAUCUUAUGCACAAA